This 268-nucleotide ribosomal RNA is filed under the name uncultured bacterium. RNAcentral's name for it is "partial 16S ribosomal RNA". It matches the Rfam family "Bacterial small subunit ribosomal RNA", at positions 335 to 596 of the family's 1533-position model. The record is from RNAcentral.
AACCUACGGGACGCAGCAGUAGGGAAUCUUCCACAAUGGACGAAAGUCUGAUGGAACAACGCCGCGUGAGUGAAGAAGGGUUUCGGCUCGUAAAGCUCUGUUGAUAGUGAAGAAAGAUAGAGGUAGUAACUGGCCUUUAUUUGACGGUAAUUACUUAGAAAGUCACGGCUGACUACGUGCCAGCAGCCGCGGUAAUACGUAGGUGGCAAGCGUUGUCCGGAUUUAUUGGGCGUAAAGCGAGUGCAGGCGGUUCAGUAAGUGUGAUGUG